This 232-nucleotide ribosomal RNA is filed under the name uncultured bacterium. RNAcentral describes it as "partial 16S ribosomal RNA". It matches the Rfam family "Bacterial small subunit ribosomal RNA", at positions 565 to 793 of the family's 1533-position model. The record is from RNAcentral.
GCGCGCGUAGGCGGAUUAGUCAGUUAGAGGUGAAAUCCCAGGGCUCAACCCUGGAACUGCCUUUAAUUACUGCUAGUCUUGAGUUCGAGAGAGGUGAGUGGAAUUCCGAGUGUAGAGGUAGAAAUUCGUAGAUAUUCGGAGGAACACCAGUGGCGAAGGCGGCUCACUGGCUCGAUACUGACGCUGAGGUGACGAAAGUGUGGGGAGCAAACAGGAUUAGAUACCCUGGUAG